AACGAACGCUGGCGGCGGGCCUCAUACAUGCAAGUCGAGCGCGAAAGUCCGCAAGGAUGAGUAAAGCGGCGCACGGGUGAGUAACACGUGGGUAAUCUACCUUUUGGAUUGGAAUAACCUGUCGAAAGACGGGCUAAUGCCAAGUAAGUUCUUUGGAACGUGGAGUUUUGAAGAAGAAAGAUGGCGCAAGCUAUCGCCGAAAGAUGAGCCUGCGUCCCAUUAGUUAGUUGGUGGGGUAAUGGCUUACCAAGACAAUGAUGGGUACCUGGUCUGAGAGGAUGACCAGGCACACUGGAACUGAAACACGGUCCAGACUCCUACGGGAGGCAGCAGUAGGGAAUAUUGCGCAAUGGACGAAAGUCUGACGCAGCCACGCCGCGUGAGUGAGGAAGGCCUU
This 397-nucleotide ribosomal RNA is filed under the name uncultured bacterium. Its description in RNAcentral is "bacterial SSU rRNA". It matches the Rfam family "Bacterial small subunit ribosomal RNA", at positions 29 to 418 of the family's 1533-position model. The record is from RNAcentral.